UACGUAGGGGGCGAGCGUUGUCCGGAAUUAUUGGGCGUAAAGAGCGUGUAGGCGGUUCGGUAAGUCUGUCGUGAAAUCCUGGGGCUCAACCUCGGGCGUGCGAUGGAUACUGCCGGGCUAGAGGGUGGUAGAGGCGAGUGGAAUUCCCGGUGUAGCGGUGAAAUGCGCAGAUAUCGGGAGGAACACCAGUAGCGAAGGCGGCUCGCUGGACCACACCUGACGCUGAGGCGCGAAAGCGUGGGGAGCAAACAGG
RNAcentral lists this ribosomal RNA (253 nucleotides) under uncultured bacterium. Its description in RNAcentral is "partial 16S ribosomal RNA". It matches the Rfam family "Bacterial small subunit ribosomal RNA", at positions 524 to 776 of the family's 1533-position model. The record is from RNAcentral.